RNAcentral lists this ribosomal RNA (495 nucleotides) under uncultured bacterium. Its description in RNAcentral is "partial 16S ribosomal RNA". It matches the Rfam family "Bacterial small subunit ribosomal RNA", at positions 28 to 523 of the family's 1533-position model. The record is from RNAcentral.
GAUGAACGCUAGCGGGAGGCCUAACACAUGCAAGCCGAGCGGUAUUUGUCUUUCGGGACAGAGAGAGCGGCGUACGGGUGCGGAACACGUGUGCAACCUGCCUUUAUCAGGGGGAUAGCCUUUCGAGUGGAAGAUUAAUACCCCAUAAUAUAUUGAAUGGCAUCAUUUGAUAUUGAAAACUCCGGUGGAUAGAGAUGGGCACGCGCAAGAUUAGAUAGUUGGUAGGGUAACGGCCUACCAAGUCAGUGAUCUUUAGGGGGCCUGAGAGGGUGAUCCCCCACACUGGUACUGAGACACGGACCAGACUCCUACGGGAGGCAGCAGUGAGGAAUAUUGGACAAUGGGUGAGAGCCUGAUCCAGCCAUCCCGCGUGAAGGACGACGGCCCUAUGGGUUGUAAACUUCUUUUGUAUAGGGAUAAACCUAGAUACGUGUAUCUCGCUGAAGGUACUAUACGAAUAAGCACCGGCUAACUCCGUGCCAGCCGCCGCAGUAA